RNAcentral lists this long non-coding RNA (2499 nucleotides) under Salmo salar (Atlantic salmon). Its description in RNAcentral is "lncRNA (ENSSSAG00000089179.1)". Lineage: Eukaryota; Metazoa; Chordata; Actinopteri; Salmoniformes; Salmonidae. The record is from RNAcentral.
CUCUUCCUAAGUUGGAUUGAGUUUGGGUGAUUGUGGAGGCCAGGUCAUCUGAUGCAGCACUCCAUCACUCUCCUUCUUGGUCAAAUAGCCCUCACACACCCUGGAGGUGUGUUGGGUCAUAGUCCCACUGAGCACAAACCAGAUGGGAUGGCGUAUCGCUGCAGAAUGUUUUGGUAGCAUUGCUGGUUAAAUGUGCCUUGAAUUCUAAAUAAAUCACUGACAGUGUCACCAGCAAAGCAUCCCCACACCAUCACAAAGACACAGCACUUGGAAUCAAAAAUCUUCAUUUUGGACUACAGACCAAAGGACAGAUUUCCACCGGUCUAAUGUUCAUUGCUCGUGUUUCUUGGCCAAAGCAAGUCUGUUAUUCUUAUUGGUGUCCUUUAGUAGUGGUUUCUUUGCAGCAAUUUGACCAUGAAGGCUUGAUUUACACAGUCUCCUCUGAAUAGUUGAUGUUGAGAUGUGUCUGUUACUUGAACUCUGUGAAGCAUUUAUUUGGGAUGCAACUCUAAUGAACUGAUCCACUGCAGCAGAGGUAACUCUGGGUCUUCCUUUCCUUUGGCGGUCCUCAUGAGAGCCAGUUUCAUCAUAGUGCUUGAUGCGACUACACUUGAAGAAACUUUCAAACUUCUUGAAAUGUUCCGCAUUGACUGACCUUCAUGUCUUAAAGUUAUGAUGGGCUGUCGUUUCUCUUUGCUUAUUUGAACUGUUCUUGCCAUAAUGUAUACUUGGUCUUUUACCAAAUAGGGCUAUUUUAUAUAUACCUUGUCACAACACAACUGAUUGGCUCAUACGCGUUAAGAAGGAAAGAAAUUCCACAAAUUAACUUUUAAUAAGGCACACCUGUUAAUUGAAAUGCAUUCUAGGUGAUUCCAACUCAUAAAGCUGGUUGAGAGAAUGCCUGUAACGCCUUGGCCAUAGAGAGGGUUUUUUGUUCUCUAUUUUUGGUUAGGCCAGGGUGUGACAUGGGUGGGUGUUCUAGGUUUCUUUUUCUAUGUUGGUGGUUUUCUUUGUUUCGGCCGUGUAUGGCUCUCAAUCAGGAACAGGUGUAGAUCGUUGUUGCUGAUUGAGAGUCAUACAUAGGCAGCCUGUUUUUCCUUUGGGGUUUGUGGGUGAAUGUUAUCUGUUUAGUUUGUAUCCUGACAGAACUGUGGCUGGUCAUUUUUUGUUUUUGUUUUGUAUAGUGUUCAUUCGGUCAUUAAACCUUACAAGAUGAACACAUCCUCCGCUGCACCUUGGUCUCAUUUCAACGAUGGCCGUUACAAUGCCAAGAGUGUGCAAGCUGUCAUCAAGGCAAAGGGUGGCUACUUUGAAUAAUCUCAAAUAUAUUUUGAUUUGCCUAACACUUUUUUGGUCACUACAUGAUUCCAUAUGUGUUAUUUCAUAGUGUUGAAUUCUUCACUAUUAUUCUACAUUGUAGAAAAAAUUGUGGAAUGAGUAUGUGUCCAAACUUUUGACCUGUACUGUAUGUAUAACAGAAAGAAAAGUGGCCCCAGCACACUCCCUUGGGGUACCCCAUAGUUCAAUGUUUUGGGUUUGACAGGGUCCCAUCCACAUCCAACAUCUGUUUUCUUCCUUGCAGAUAAGAUCUAACCCUUUUUACAGCUAAAUUGUUUGAUUAACAGAAUCUCAUUAUCCACUGUAUCAAAUGCCUUUUGGAGAUCUAACAUAACCAUACCACAAAACCUCCUUCCAUCUACUUCCUUCCUGAUGUGGUCAGUUAGAUAUAGUAGGCAUAAUCUUUUCUAUGACCUUCGGUAAAAUACACAGGAUUGAGACAGGCAGACAUAGUUUUCAUGAUGUAGCUUUUUCCCUUUUCUUAUAUAGAGGAAUGACCUGUGCAAAUUUUAAUUCACUGGGAAAAAUCCCUAGUUCAUUAGACAUAUUUACAAUGUGAGUUACGCAGGGGGUGAUAAUUUACGCAGCAUCCCUUAGAAAUCUGGCAGGAAUGUUGUCAAGUCCAGUUGCCUUGGAAUGGUCAAGUUCUUUCAGCUUCUUUAGCACAGUUGACUGAGACACUUUUUCAAAUGAAAAAGCAUUUACUUCAAAUCCAAUCAAAUACAAUUUUAUUGGUCGCAUACACAUAUUUAGGAGGUGUUAUUAUGGGUCUAGCGAAAUGCUUGUGUUCCUAACUCCAAUGGUGCAGUAAUAUCUAACAAUACACAAUACACAAAAUUCUAAAAGUAAAAUAAUGGAAUUAAGAAAUGUAAAAAUAUUAGGAUGAGGAAUGUCGGAGUAAAUAUAUACAUGUAUACUGUACAUAUAAAAUGGGUAAAACAGUAAUGUAAACAUUAUUAAAGUGAUCAGUGUUCCAUGUCUAUGUACAUAGGGCAGCAGCCUCUAAGGUGCAGGAAUGAGUAACCGGGUGGUAGCCGGCUAGUGAUGGCUAUUUAACAGUCUGAUGACCUUGAGAUAGAAGCUGUUUUUCAGUCUUUCGGUCCCAGCUUUGAUGCACCUGUACUGACAUCGCCUUCUGGAUGAUAGCGGGGUUAACAGGCC